Molecule: long non-coding RNA, 32968 nt
Filed under: Prunus persica (peach)
Lineage: Eukaryota; Viridiplantae; Streptophyta; Magnoliopsida; Rosales; Rosaceae
Description: long non-coding RNA (PPER_LNC005920)
Source: RNAcentral
UUCCUCAAUAUCACGAGUCCAGAGAGACCACUCCAUUUGUACAGCUGUGAUGGGAUGAACUGCAUGUGCCCUCCUUAUUGUGUCCGGGCUAGCUUCUGAUAAACCGAUGUACUUUACUUUCCCUUCUUCCACCAGUUUCUUCAGCUCACCAAUCUAAACUCCAGAAAGAAAACCAAAAAGUAUCUAAUCAAACUAACAUGCAGAGUUUAUUAUACAAUUGUGGUGGCUGCAGCUGAAUAAGGAAGAGAAUCACAUACAGUUUCCUCUAUAGGCACUGAAGUGUCCACCCGAUGUUGGUAAUACAGAUCAAUGUAGUCCACACCAAGACGCUUCAAGCUAGCUUCGCAGGCUGAACGGACAUACUCAGGAGUACCCUUGAUUACAAUAGUAGGAGGGUCAACGGUUCCUGUAAUGCCAAACUUUGUGGCUAAUUGAAUUUUUUCUCUUGGCAACUGCUUCAAGGCCUAAAAAAUUAAAACUUUGCAAUUAGGCUUGCAGAAAAUCAAUAGAAAAGUCCUUCGUUACUUGUAAGGCAGCUGCAAGUUUCUUCUUCUUGACAAGAAUAGAAGAAACAUACAAAACAUUGAGACAUAUACAUUUAGCUCUUAUUCUGCUUCUCUUAACUUGUGGAGUUCGUGUAAUCAUUCAGAAGUUGUUGACAAAUUCAGAAGCGGAGAGACAUGCAUACCUUCCCAACAAGAACCUCAUUCAAAUGAGGUCCAUAUACAUCAGAUGUGUCAAAGAAAGUGAUUCCUUUACUGAAGGCAUCUUUGAUUAUCGAGAUUCCAUCCUCAUCAGCGACAGGAGAGUUGUAGACUCCAGUCAGGCCCAUGCACCCAAAACCCAAUUUUGAGACCUGAAAGGAGAUCAUAAAUUCUGAACUAAAGCAGGAAAAACUGUUCCAAGUUUCAGUCUUGGAAUCUGAAAUUCCCUUUCCCUCGGCCAUAUUAUUUUUCCUCUAUGUAAUUUCUUUAGAUCCCUUUCCUUUUAGAUCAAUCCCAAAUAUAAAUUGGAUUUGUUAAUACAAAGUCUACCCUGCGUUAGGAUUAAAUCAUUGGAUUGUUUUCCACCCAAGAAGUCAGCUUUCUGGAAAAAGAUGCAACUGACUGUGUUUUAGAGUCGUAAUUUGAAAACUAUGAACAGGAAAGGAUAAGUUGAAGAGUAAGAUGUACGUACCUCAAGUCCUUGAUUUCCCAAUUUAACUCUAGGAAUUUCGACUGUGUUAUCUUCAGCCAUCUUUCUAAACUUUCAGCUCUCUGUUUUCGGCUUUUCUUUUCAAUGGUUUUUUUAGGGUCCGCUCCUCCCAGUUUGGUGGACUCUCUUUUUUGGACAAGGAGGUUGGUGGACUGUGACGUCAAAAAGAAAUUUAAAUCAGAAAAGUAAAAAUGACGAGUAAUGCACCAGCCGGGAAUCGAACCCGGGUCUGUACCGUGGCAGGGUACUAUUCUACCACUAGACCACUGGUGCACUGGAUGCACAUAAAAAGAAAUUAGUGAAAUAUAUUAAAUAAAACUAACUUGUAUAAGAGCAUCUUCAAAAGAGAUGUGACAAAAAUGGAAGGAAAAAUUUAUUCCAAUUGAGUCAAAUCGUACAUGCAUUUAUAGGUUUUAAUGACAAAUAUUACUUUCAUACAUUUUCAGUCUUAAUGCCCUUGCAUUUGACAUCUUCGCUUGGUGAAUUCAGCAAAUAACGUGACACCUAUAUUAGAGAGUUUCAGUUAAUAAUGUAAUUAGCAUUUCUACACAUGUAAUACUAUUUUCCUUCUUUCGUAAGACUGUUGAGCAAGCUUCAGAGAAUGAUGACUUCGUAUCUUGAAGACUAAAUUACGUUAAUCAUAGAUAGGGGAUUUAUUAACAUAUAAGAAUUUGAAUUCCUUUAAAUCAUAUAUAUCUUCCCAAAAAGAAACAAGAACACAAAAAAAUGAAAAGGCAAGGGGAUAAUUAAAAGAGAAAUCAAAUUAAUUAAGAAACAGUUGAUCUGGGUGCUAGCCCUCCUCUUUACCAAAGCAAAAAAAAAUUAAGAAGCAAUCUCCACAUCGCAAUUAUCCACCGGCUGACCCUUGAUGAGGUUUGGACCACCGUUGUUCAAAUCCCCCAACCUGAUAUUCGCCGGGCAAUGCACGUACAAGUGAUACUUGGGCGAAAUCCAAGUCCCUACUUUCCACUUCACGUCCCCUUGAAGCUUGAUAUUCAUCAGGACAACCCCAGUAUGCCAAUCUUGAUCCAAAGACUGCUGUGAAUAUGGAGAAAUCGGCAUGUCGUAGCCAGUCAAAGGAGGUGACCACACCACAGGUUCCUUGUGCCCUUGGUACGUAGGAGGCAAGAGAUAAGCCAUUGUUAUCUGCUGGUCUCGAUAUGUGGCGUAGACGUGGAGAGGCUGGUAAUCUACGCCUAUCCGAGAAUUAGGGUUUCUAGAGGACAGUGUGACCUGCAUGAUGAUGGUGAUGGCGUAGGGCGGUGCCUUGGAGACGUUGAACUGAUAAACGGUGACGUCUUCGAGGUUGAAGCUUGGCUUGGAGGGGUGGAGAACGAGGAACACAACAAACACUAGGAGGCCAAUAAAGACAAUAAGGCCACCGGUGCCCCAUGCGAACCACUUUAGUUUCCUGCUGCUAAUGCAGCCGACGUUGACGCUGGCUAUCUUUUCACUCAUGGCGGGGAGUGGAUUGCGUGGCGGCGACGGGAUCCGGAUUGAAGGCAGAGAUAUGAUCUCUAGCUGAGGAAAGUUGUCGAACUAAACGUAUGCGGACUAGUGUGAGAUAACUUACCAACAGGGAGUUUGAUAAAGGGUCUAGUGUGAAAACAUAUAGCGAAAAAAAAGUUAGAGUAAGCAAAAAUAGAAUUUGAGUAAUACUGAAAGAAUAAAAAUUUUAAUCACUUAAAAAAAGAUUUGAUAGAAUUCGAUGCAUUCACAUUCCCAUCAUUAUAUAAUUCCGUGAAAAAUUCAUGAAUUCCUACAAUAAAAGUUAUCCGUUUUCCAAUGAAGAAAAUAAAUUUAGCUAUCUUUUUUUCUUGAAAAUAACAAAACAAGCUAUUUUGUGUGACUAUGGAUGUCGAUUCUUGUACCCAAAAAGAUUGUCAUGGAAAAAUAUGAAGUCAACCUAAUAUAUCUAGUAAUCAAAGCAUGAAUCAAGUAUUUUAUGAUUGAAAUAAAUGAAUUAAAGUUUGGCAAAACUACUAACCGGAUGCAUUAUCAUCUCCAUGACUGAACAAAACGUUUGAAUAGGAGAGCAGCCAUACACGAACGCUCUGCAAACUAUAAGAUUUAACCCUAAUUGUACACAGUAUGUACAAUGUAUAGUUCUCUUGUAUAUAUAUAUAUAUAUAUAUCGAUUUUUCUUGUUAUUUUUUUUAAAUAACUUGGCAGCAUUCUUCAUGGAACAAAUCAGGAAUGAUUAUUUUUUCGAAGCAAGGAUUGAAGAAGAAGCAAUACCUUAAUAAAUGCGAUUUUUUGCUGUCAAAAUAUAUAAGAUGAUUUGCUUCCAUUUUUGUUGUAAUUUUCCUUGUUUUUCAAUUCAAUGCGAUUUUCUUUCAAUAAAAAACUGUCUAGUGGAUAUAUCUUUGGAUGUCUGCCAUCAUUCAUAACUGGGGGAUCUUAAAAGAUAUUUCCUUCUUUUUGUCUUCCUGUUCUUUUGUUUCCUUUUUUUGUUCAUAACCCCCCGUACGUGUUAACAAAACAAAUAUCAUAAUUAGUGGGAGACAGAAAACACAUUUCUUAAAUUCUGUAGCUAAGGAUAUCAUAAUUUGUGGCUCAUGAUCAUCACAAAGAACAAGGCUUUGUCAUGCCACACAAGCUAAGGAUAUCCUCGAACAAGACUUGGUCUUGCCACACAAGCCAAGGAUAUCCCUUCAGAUCAGUUGGCUUGCGUAUUAUGUACCUCUUUGUAAAUUUGUUAAGGCACAUCACCUUAAAAUCGUAUUGCACGUAUAAAGACGGAGCAAGAUCUUCUUCGAUCCUUGAUCGUCUUUUGUUUCUUUUAUCUUUUUCAUAAUUUCAUGCUUAAAACUAGAUGAUAUCCUUUACAGGAAAUAUUUUAAAUCAGAAAAUAAAGGGACAAACUAGAAAAGUAGGGGGUUCAAUAAAGCAAAACUAAAAGAUGAAGACAUCAUUGAUGGGAGAUUUCAAGCACAUAUUUUUCCGAACAGCUAAACCGUGGGAAAUGGAAUGACCAGAAUGAAAGCAAAGAAUCUAACGUGCAUAGUGUGCAUACUCAAGACACCUAUGUAUGUAUCAAUGUGUUUACCCAGAAAAGGACCCGCCGGCCAUUCACUUCGAGUUUGGCUGUGGAGUUUGCUUUUUGAGAUUGCGAAGGUGUGUCAAGGUUGGCAGUGAAAAACUCCAAUAGACUGAAAAUGGUAAGACUAAAAAAUGCGCACCGAUAUUGACUUUAAUCAAUCGAUUGUGGAUUGGACAGGGAACUGACCCAAUACAAGGUUCUUUUCUAUGCCUCAAUUAAGAAGACUUCAAUAUUCAUCUAGCGCAAAAAUGGUAACGGACAGAAGCUGAAAUUGAACGAUAAUGAAAAUGACAUAAGUUUAUCGGAAUAUUUAUCUAUUUAGAAAACUUGAAAGAAAAAUGAAGUACAUAAACAACACACCCUGAAGAUUUAUCUAUUCAGACCUGGUACGUAAAAUUAAAAUGGAGAUUGAAGAUUUCUCUAUUCAAUCUUGUACAAGGAAAAAUCAUACCAAGAGUUGGCAUAGCCAAAUAAAGAAAAUUAUUCAUGAGUAAUCAACUAGGAAAUUCAGAGAAUGAAAAAGGGAGGCUGUUUCAAGCUUUUGAGUUGGGUUUAUAGACGUUGAGUCUGAUUUUUGUUGGUUGAGUUGUGUUUGAUAAUUUCUCCUUCAAUUUAUAGAGAAUGGAGGUUGGUUGAGUGGACCAGCAGUCAAUUUGAAAUACCCCCUUGCCAUUGAUUUUGGUGAGUGGGUUGCUGAAAAUAUAAGUGAACCCGAAAAAGUUGCUAAGAGGCUUUGAUGUGAUUUGACAGAAGUUAUCACUAUUAGACUUAAAGAAAUCCAAAAUAUUAGUCCACUUGUCAUUGAUUGGUGAGUGAUAGCCAAAAGUAGCUGACUAAAAGACAAAAAGAAAUAGAGAGAUAAUGACCACCAUCUCUACUUCUUUCUUUAUUAAUUCUUUAAGCCCACUUGCAUAUUAUUUUAUUCUUCUUUCAACUUUGGUGUAGACUUUUCACGUGCAUGUUGAGCUUUGGCUUUGUUUUAAUAUUCUUAAUCACAGAGGAUAUUAAAUUUUCUCCAUCUACCACAACAUUAUUUUAUUCUUCUUUGAAUCAACUCACUUGUGAUGUCCCUCUAUUGAUAAAGUGAAACUUGAUUUGCAGCCAUUGAGUUUCUCCUCCGAACAUGCCCUGAUGCAUAAUGAACUAGGAAUGCUAGAUUGAUCCAAUUUCUACAAAUUUCGGAUAUGUUGUUCUCCACAUAAGUAGGAACAACAUUGAUGAAGAACUUAAUUCCAUUUGAGUAAUGGAAAAUCUGAUUUAGCAUGGUUGCAACUGACUGGUCGUCAUACACUGCCCUCACGAAUAGAAAUCAUGAUUAGCGCUCUAAAGAUUCAAUACUUAGGGAAAUGACGCCAAAUUCGGAUAUGUUGUAGUGGACAUCCAAAUGAACAACUUUCAUGAAGAAUGAAUAUUCAUUUGAUGACUGGAAGCUGGCCCGAAUUGCCACUGUUAUCAGCUUUUGCUGUUACUGGUAUGCUUCUGAUGUUUGAUGUCUCGAGGAUUCCACAUUUAUCCAAAUCAUUCCAAAUUUGGAUAUGUUGCAGUAGACAUUCUAAUGAACAACUUUUAUGAAGAAAGAAAAUUCAUUAGAGUAUUGGAAUUAGGCCCAAAUUGCAGCUAUAAGCUUUUUACUGGCGUUGUGCAUCUGAUGUUUUCAGCUCUUAGGAUUCAAAAUUUGUCCGAAUAAACCCAAAUUUGGAUAUAUUGCAGUAGACAUAGAGAUGAACAACUUUUAUGAAGAACGAAACUUGAUUUGAGUGCUGGAAGUUAAAAUUUGGGCUCACUCCAUCUGUCUGCAGCAAUACAUGUCUAGCCAUAUUUUGGGCAUUUUGAUGUUCAUGGAACAUUACCUUCCAUUUUAGACAAAAGUACAAUUUUUGGUACAAACACAAUGUGUUUUCUCUUUCAAAGCCAUGAGAUGAGAGUAGUUAUGGAAGUCUGAUUAUUUUCUUCAUCUAUUGGACUAUGCUUUAAAUUUCUUUGUUGAAUUAAAAAAUCUGGAGAAGAAACAUUUUAUGCAUAUUCCUUUGACGAAUAUAGUGUGUUAGGCCCAAUACCCACACCCAAUUAGGCCUGAAAGUUCAAAUCUAAAUUCUAGUCCAAUAUUCGGCUUCAAACUCUCCUUUUUAGGCCUAACUCCAAAUUUUGGAAAUUACAAAUGGGCUCAGCUCGAAUGAGAUUUUUUAUUUUAAAUUUUAUUAUAUAUAUUUAUUUCUAUAAGUGACAGUGAGAAGGAGAGUUUUUUUCACGAUGUCAAGGUGUUAUGGGAAUCGAAUGAAGCCUAUCAAAUGCCCUUGAAUGAAUAAAGUAGUCGAGAUGCUCGAAGGAGAAAUUGAGAGCCUCCAAGGCCUUUCUUAUAUCCACAACAAAUUCUUGCAGAUGAAGUUGGUGUGGACAAUCCAUGUCCCUGUGCAUCAACUUCUUCAGAAUUUGUAGAAAUUACUUUUAUUGCUGAUGCAAAUGAAGUGAAUUAAUAUUAAUCAAGAUAUGGAUCUAUGUAAGUGAAAGUUAGCAGCUCUACUCUGUAUUUGAUCCUAGCAUAAAUAUGUUUACAUGUUAUAAUUAAUAUAUAUUAUGUUAAUUAAUAUUUUAUAAAUGUUUAGUUUAUCAUGAAAUUCUCAACAACAAAAAAAGCCUUAGCCCAGUCCAACUUAAGUAACCCAAUGUAGCCCAACCAAAUUCCUUACAACACGUUCAAGCCCUAAUAGUCCGGCUUGUGUAAGUGGGCUUGGGCCGAGGUAGUAAAACCGACCAAAUUAGCACGAAGAAAUGCCUAAGUCCUAAAAGCCCAACUUGGUCCCAUGAAAGGCCAUAUAACCCACUUUACUUGACCUCUCUUUCUCCCUCUUCAAUGUAGUUCUUUAAAUGCCAAAGUUAUUUUCAACUGAAUUAUUGGAGCAGUCAAUUUUCACAUUUUCUCGUAUCAAUACUUCUUACAUACAUACAUUUCAAUUAACAUUUUUAGGAUGUCCACGUCAAAGGCUAUAGCACAUGUGUGAAUUUUGCAAAAUAUAUGCACACGUCAACACGUACUAUCGUGAAAAAUAAAAUGCAUAUUUAAAAAUAAAAAAUAUUACGUACUUCGAUGUCCAAGAAGUAUCUACAAAAUGACAGAUUUUAAUUUUCCUACUGCAUCUAAGAAACUCAGAUUCUGCCUCGUGUUUUGCGUAAUUUACAUCAAAACCUUAUUAGACUUUUCUCAUUUUUUGGUUAUGUUUUAAAUAAUUUAAAAUAAUAAAUAAAAAGUGACAUGUUUUAUCAUUAAAUAUAUAUGUGGGAAGUGGGUAAAAAAAUAUACAUGUUUUUUAUCAAAACAAAGAAAGUCCAAAUAAUCACUAAUGCAGAAAAUAUUUCCUGACAUGAGGAGUGGGUUGGAGAGAUUCUCAAGCUUAGGUAGUUCUCUAUCGUGGAAUAAGUGUUUAAUUCUCAUUGAACUUUCUUUCUUUUAUUUUUCUUUUUGUCCUUUUUUUCUUUUGGAAUAGGAUGAGUACCACACAACAUGAGUAUAUGGUCAAAGUCUUCGCUCUACGUUGCUUGCACUUGGCUUCUUGCUUCACUAGGUCCAAAAACCUUUUGGAAAUUUCAUUAGUCUUCUUCAUAUGAAAGGAAAUUUCUUUGGGGUGGCUCAGAAUGGGGACAAUGAUAAAUAGACAUAGCUGUGUUUGAAUAUUAAUCAACAAUUUUGAUCACAUACUUGGUAUCUUCUGUAUCUUUGAGUUUAGUGGAGAGAAUGGUCUAUUCCCUUGAAAACAAUAUAUAGACUAGUUUAUUGUCAAUUGUGUUCGAAUGUUCAUUCAUGAUCUAAAAAAUGAAAGGUUGGACCCAAACGACUGGUUAGCAUUUUAUCAAUUUUAUUUUUAUUUUUAUAGGGAUAUCUAGCAAAUACAUAUUAUGCGGUGUUAUAUCGGAAGUGGAGGAUUCAUUGGUGACUUGCUAGGCAAAAAUAUUCAAUUCGUUUGGCUAUUCCAAAAGCGAUAUCUUGCAACAAAAAAUGAAUUCUUAUUAUAUGUUGAUGAUAAGAAACUUGGCAAUGAGCCUUUUGGAAAGAUUUCAUGAACCAAGAACAUUUGGGUUGGAAAAACCUUGUGGAAAUUUCAGGCCAACUGAAUGGUCCAAGUUUCUCUUUGUUUCGGCGUGUAUACAGCUAUAAAUAGACAAGUACCCAACAGCUAUAAAUAGACAGGCCAACUGAGGGUUUAAUUCUCAUUGAACUUUCUUUGUUUUUUUUUUUUUCUUUUUGUCCUUUUUUCUUUUGGAAUAGGAUGAGAACCACAUAACACCCUUGACGAGGUGUGCUGCAGACCCUUGACACGGUACUUGUUAACAAAACAAAUAUCAUAAUUAGUGGGAGACAGAAAACACAUUUCUUAAAUUCUGUAGCUAAGGAUAUCAUAAUUUGUGGCUCAUGAUCAUCUCAAAGAACAAGGCUUUGUCGUGCCACACAAGCUAAGGAUAUCCUAGAACAAGACUUAGUCUUGCCACACAAGCAAAGGAUAUCCCUUCAGACCAAUUGACUUGCUUAUUAUGUACCUGUUUGUAAAUUUGUUAAAGCACAUCACCUUAAAAUCAUAUUGCACGCGUAUAAAGACGCAGCAAGAUCUUCGAUCCUUGAUCCUUGAUCCUUUACAGGAAAUAUUUUAAAUCAAAAACUAAAGGGACAAACUAGAAAGGAGUAGGGGGUUCAAUAAAGCAAAGCUAAAAGAUGAAGACAUCAUUGAUGGGAGAUUUCAAGCACGGAUUUUUCCAAACAUCUAUAACUGUGGAAAAUGGAAUGACCAGAAAGAAAGCAAAGAAUCUAACAUGCAUACUCAAGUCUCCUAAUUAUACAAUGAUUUAUCAACUAUAUAAAACUAGGAAAGUAAAUCCCUUAAUUAAUCAAGGAAGUAAAUUGCCUUGAUUAAUUAGGAGACUCACGUCAACACAAUCAAAUCUCCAAUCUUGGCCAAAAAAGAAAUACAAAAAAAAUCUAUAGCUUAUUAUAGGGUUCUUUAGUUUUAACCCAUAAAAUACUUAAAUAAUUUGGAAGAAAGAUAAUGAAUUUUGCUUAAUUAAUAUAAAACCAAAGCCACCUAAUUUUACCAAAAGGACAUCCAACAACCCUAAAAUUACUACAUGUGCCAUUGUGCUUAACUGUCAAAUACAGUUUAUUUAAUUAUAAACCAAAACUUAAAACUGUCAAAACGACAUAACAUUCCCACAAAACACAACACAAAACGACACUACUCAAAUUUAAUCACUUCAAAAACUGGUUUCGCGCGACCUUUCAUAUCCCACUCCAAAAACGCAACCGACGAGCAGAAACGAAUACGAGCAGAAACUAGCAGAAACGAAGACGAGAAGAAACGAAGACGAGCAGAAACGAAGACGAUGAGCAACGGCGACGGCGACGACGAGCAACGACCACCAACGACGACCGAAGCUAAACCGUAAGAAAAUGAAUCAGUACUCUCUUCGAUUUUAGGUUUUACACCGACGACGGUUUCAGUACUGUUUCUUCCUUUUGGUUUCUGGUUGUUUGUAGCAGAUUUUGACCAGAAACUGCAAUGCAGUUUCUGAUUCCAUAAUUCAUUUUCAGAGUGCUUUUUGCUAGGGUUUAUGGGAAUGUUAUAACUGCCCAUGAAGUUAAAUGUGUUUUGAUAUUCGUUUUUGCUACUGUUUUUGCCUUUUGGUUUCUGGUUGUUUGUCUUCGAUUUUGACCAGAAACUUGGUUUCUGGUUGUUUGUAGCAGAUUUUGACCAGAAACUACAAUGCAGUUUCUGGUUCCAUAAUUUUAUUUCAGAGUGCUUUUUGCUGGUUUAUGGGAAUGUUAUAACUGCUAAUGAAGUUAAAUGUCUUUUGAUAUUAGUUUUAGUACUUUGCCUUUUGGUUUCUGGUUGUUUGUAGCAGAUUUUGACCAGAAACUGCAUUGCAGUUUCUGGUUCCAUAAUUUUAUUUCAGAGUGCUUUUUGCUGGUUUAUGGGAAUGUUAUAACUGCUAAUGAAGUUUAAUGUCUUUUGAUAUUAGUUUUAGUACUUUGCCUUUUGGUUUCUGGUUGUUUGUAGCAGAUUUUGACCAGAAACUGCAUUGCAGUUUCUGGUUCCAUAAUUCAAUUUCAGAGUGCUUUUUGCUGGUUUAUGGGAAUUUUAUAACUGCUCAUGAAGUUAAAUGUGUUUUGAUAUUAGUUUCAGUACUGUUUUUGCCUUUUGGUUUCUUUUCACAUCAAAUUUUGAGCAGCAGUUUCUGGUUGUUUGUUGCAGAUUUUGACCACAAACUGCAGUGCAUAUCACAAAAUGGAACAAGAAAUGUCACCACAAAAGAAUGAAGCUGAAAACCAACCAAAGCGCAGAAUCAAAAUGAUGGCUCAAAAGCGUAAGCCAAAGCCAAAGCCAAACUAUGAUCGGAAAGCAAAGCACCCGGACUAUGUCCAAUUUCGGUGCAAUGCCUAUGCUUUCAACAGCAUCAUUAGAGACAUAAAGGACAAGCUCAAUGAAAGGCAGAAGAAGCUUCUCAAGAAAACCCCUUUCUGGAACUUGAUCGAGCUGUUUUACCGCCAGAGAAUUGACAUGAAUAACAUGAAUAAGUAGGACCUUGACUUAGUACAGCUGCUCAAGAAAUUUGAUCCGGAUACAAAGUCCUUCAAAUUUGGAACCAAAUCAUUCCAAAUCACAGGCAAUGCAGUGAUACAAAGUCCUUCAUGAGCAGUUGUAACAUUGCCUUUAUGAAACCAGAAACUGCAAUGCAGUUUCUGCCAACACUCCAACAAACAGAUGCAGUUUAUAACAGAGGAGGCAAAACAAAUCGAAUAGAAACCAAAAGGAAACCACGUUAAAAGUACUAAAACUAAUAUCAAAACACAUUUAACUCCAUGAGCAGUUGUAACAUUGCAUUUAUGAAACCAGAAACUGCAAUGCAGUUUCUGCCAACACUCCAACAAACAGAUGCAGUUUAUGACAGAGGAGGCAAAACAAAUCGAAUAGAAACCAAAAGGAAACCACGUUAAAAGUACUAAAACUAAUAUCAAAACACAUUUAACUCCAUGAGCAGUUGUAACAUUGCCUUUAUGAAACCAGAAACUGCAAUGCAGUUUCUGCCAACACUCCAACAAACAGAUGCAGUUUAUAACAGAGGAGGCAAAACAAAUCGAGCCACAAAACUGAGCCACAAGAUCGCGCCACAAAAUCGAGCCACAAAACUGAGCUCGAAAAACCCAAAACUUAAGCGAUUCGGCAUGAUAAUCGAACGAAAGAUUAUCCAAUUAGAAGGAAACAAACAAACUGCACUGAAUUUUGGAACAGGAUGCGGCAUGAUAAUCGAACGAAAAAGAUUCGGCAUGAUAAUCGAACAAAAAAACUGACAGAUUCGGCAUGAUAAUCGAACGAAAAAGGAAGAAAUAAAAGGAAAACCAACCAGAAAAUUGAGCUCCAACGGCGAGAACGAAAACAAAAACGAACGAAAUCUGCCUGCAAAACGAACGAAAUCUGCCUGCCAAACGAACGAAAUUUGAAUGCCAAACGAACGAAAUCUGCUGCCAAACAAACGAGGACGAAAACGAAACAGAGAAGAACUCGUGCCUUGUUUAAACAUUCAGUGGCAAAAGCGUCAUUUAUUUUGUAGGUUUACAAAUGGGCCAGGCUUUUUAAGAAGAAGGGUAGAAUUGUCUUAUCAGUUGUUAUUUUUUACCUGGCCCAACGAAUCUGGGCCUCUCUUUGGGCUAAUCCAAAAUAGUAGUUUUUUCCUAGGUAUUAAAACUAAAACCAAAAUAUCCAAUAUCUUACAAACUAAAUAAUAAAGUUAAUUAUGUCUAAAACCUAAUUUUUCUUAUAAUUUAUAUGGGAAACUACCGAAGAUUACUUAUGAACUUUAUUAGGUUUUGAUUAAUGGGCAAAUUGUCAGAUUUGAUUAUUUCAUAUGUUUUCUUGUAAAACCAUCGUAUCUUGUACUUGGAAUGGAGGAAGAAAAUCUUGUGUAUGGUGACAGAAAUUGCAAGAUAUUGAAGUAAAAUUGAAUUGAGUAACUAAGGCACUUGUAUUCUUUAAACAGGUUGCAGUGUGAAAUUUGAAGAACAUGCCAUAUCUAUGAGCUGCUGGUUCUUCUUGUAUGGUUUGGUUUGCUUUUUGAAGAUGAAAGGAGGAGGUGAUGGAAGAGAGCAACAAUAUGUUUUAACGCUUCGUAAUGUUUGUUUUGGGUGUGAAGCAAUUUUGUUUUAUUUAAAAAUAAUCUAUGUUUGAUGUGUCAAUUUUUUGGCUUUUGGAUGAAAUUUAAAUGAGAUCGCAUUCUUAUAAGAAAAGUCAAGUAGAUCAUGACAGAGAAAAAUCAAAGAAGAUGAUUCGGAUCUAUUUUAAUGAUAUUAUUAAGUGGACCCAAAGGCAUUAUAAAGUCCAAAUAAUCACUAAUGCAGAAAAUGUUUCCUGACUUGAACAGUGGGUUGGAGAGAUUCCCAAAGCUUAAGUAGUUGUCUAUUGUGAAACAAGUGUUUAGUUCUCAUUGAACUUUCUUUGUUUUAUUUAAUUUUUUUUUAGUCCUUUUUUUCUUUUGGAAUAGGAUGAGAACCACAUAACAUGAGUAUAUGGUCAAAGUCUUUCUCUACGUUGUAUGCACUCUUGCUUCACUAGGCCCAUUGGAAAUUUCAUGUCUUCUUCACCUGAAAGGAAAUUUCCUUAGGGUGGCUUAGAAUGUGGACAAUGAUAAAUAGACAAGUACCUCUCAUAACAGCUGUUUUUGAAUAUUAAUCAACAGUUUUGAGCACAUACUUGGUAUCUUCUACACCUUUGAGUUUAGUAGAGAGAAUGGUCUAUUUGCUUGACAACAAUAUAUAGACUAUUUGAUUGUCAUGAUAGGAGUGGACCAAGAAAAUUUAUUUAGAGAUAUAUAUAAACUCAAGGACUUUAUGCUUAACUCGGUUUGUGCGCUAAUAAGAAAAAAAUUAGUCAAAUUGAAAAUUAUUUAUUCAUUUAAUUUUUUUCAUGAAUGGUUUUUUUUAUUAUUUAUAGGAAGUAUUGUGUUCGUGUAUUUUUUUUUUUUUUAUCACACUUAGAUGCCUGAAUAUUUUCAGAUUUGGUAACUUUUUGUAAGGGUGAUCUUUAAUUCAUUACCUAAACAAUGAACGAUUUGGAUCAUUUUAAUGAUAUUGUUAAGUUGACCCAAACGAUUGGUUAACAUUGUAUUAACUGUUGUUUUUAUCUAGCAAAUACAUAUUAUGUGGUGUUUAUAUAGGAAGUGGAGGAUUCGAUGGUGACACCCUAGCUAUUCUUUUUUUUUUUGAGAACCUCGACAGAACGAGGGAAACUUUAUUGAUAAAGCGAAGAAUGACAACGGGGGGGACAAUGUGCCUGACCCCGACUUAACACAUCACACAAUAGGGCGUCCUGAAUAAGAUCAGGGGGCACCUCAAACCAAAUAAAGUUGUCCACAUUAUGCAAACCAAAACGAGCAAGUCGGUGUGCAACACCAUUUGCUUCCCUAGGAGUAAAUUGAAAAAGAGAGCUAGGAAACUGUUGCUGAAGAUGCUUUACAUCUUCAACAAUGGUACCAAUGUUUGAAUAAUCCUGUCCUGCUCGCUUUAUUGCUGAAACCACCACAGCAGAGUCCCCUUCGAAGAUGGGAGAUGCAGUCCCAAGUGAGAGAGCAAGAGCCACCCCUUCACGAGCUGCAAGAAUUUCUGCAUGUUCAGCCGACAGCACUUCCCCAACUGAUUUUGCCACUGCCGCCACAAAACCUCCAUCCGCGUCUCUGGCAACAACCCCAACAGCCCCUCUACCCGAAGUAGGAUCAAAUGCUCCAUCAAAGUUAAAUUUGAGGCGGCCUGACGGUGGUGCUGCCCAACGCACUGGAUCCCGCACCCGAUCAGUUACUUUGGACGGAGUAUCAUUUGCCGUAAUAAAUUCAUGCACAUACUGUUGAGCAAAACCCACGACCUCAUGUGGAGAUCGCUGGACUCCCUGCCACAACAGUGCAUUUCGAUUUCCCCAUAUAGCCCAUAACAAAGUGAUAAUAUGAUCCCGUUGCGCUUUACUUGUACCCUCCAGCAUUUCUCUCAGCCAGUCCUUCAUUGUAUGACAAUGUACCUGAUGAGCAUGCCUUGUCAACAAAGAAAUAUUCCAAGUAGCCACUGCAAAAGGACACAUAGCAAGAACAUGCAGAGCACUUUCAGUGAUGUCACCACAAAACAUGCACAUGUCUUGCAACUAAAGAAUGAAUUCUUAUUAUAUGUCAUCUUUUCUAAUUUAAAUCAAAAUUAAAAAGUAACAGGUUUUAUCAUAUAUAUAAAUACUAACAAUUUUAUUCACCUUGGUAUAUGCUCAACCACAAUAUGGCUUCAUAUCCUUAAAUUAAUUAUAGCACAUGUAUCAAUGGGUCACCCUUUUUUUCUUUUCUAUAAUUCAAAAAUACACAAUUAUAUAUGAAUAUAUAGAAAAAGAGACGCUAUCUUAGUCUCAAUUAUAACAUGUACUGCAAGUUUGAUGAAUUAUUGCUAUCUAAUUAAUACUUUACAUUGAAAUUUAUUGAACUCAAACCAGUUUCUUAAUUAACUAAUACUAUCUGCUUAACACACGACAAUACUAUAACAAUCUUAUUAUAAGAACACUCGAAGACUCAUCUCAUAAGGGAGUGGUGUAAUCCAUGCAGACAUAGAUGCUUCUUCAGCGUAGAGGUCUGUUCAUAUUAUAUUCUCCUUCAACUCGAAGUGCUGGCAAAAGGAUUAGGAGGCAUGGCUAGAUUCUCACCUUCUCUUUCCAACAUUUGAACUACAACUUUCAUUGAAGGACGAUCUAUUGGAUGCCAUUGGAUGCACCACAGACCCACAAUUGCGAGUUUCCACUACUACAAAAAAGCAAAAAGACGACGGUAAAUCACCGUCGUGUAUUUGGUUUUUCAAUGGUCGUGGAAUCCACCGUCAUCUUUUCCCUCAUAAACCACGACGCUAAAUAACCGUCGUUGUUAAACAAUACAACGUCAUCAAAAAAUACAAAACGACGUCUUUGUACUGCAAAAAGAUCUAAAAAAAGCAAUCGAGGAUGAUAAUAGACGACCAAUUCUCUAAAAAGACCGUCGUUAAAAAGGGAAAAUAUGACACAUAUUAAGAGAACAAGGCCGCAAGAUAGACAUACAACGACGACAAUAAAAAUACGCCGACGUUAAAUAUAAUUUUCACGACAAUAAAAAAUAUGACGUCUUUAAAUACAUUAGAAGACGACGUUAUUGAUACCUACUACGUCGCACAUAUAAACACAACCGUCGUACAAUUAAUUUUCCACUUCGAUUUUUUGAUAAAAGAUGACGUGGAAAUAGUUGUCAGUGUCAUUAUUUACGACGUAUGUGUUUCUAUAGUAGACGUUGAAAAACUAAACAACGUCAGUUACAAAUAUAUGAGAGUCGUAUUAAAAAAUUUAUACGUCCUAUUUUCAGAAACAAACAACGACCAUAAAUAUUAGACGUUGUUAAAUACAACAACGUCGGAAAACAAUAAAAACAGACGUGUUUAGUCUGCUAAAGUUCUACAACGUCUCUUAUUUACAAAAAACCGUCGUGAAAUAAAUUUUCCACUUCGAUUUUAUCUAAAAAAGAUGACGUGGAAAUAGUUGUCAGUGUCAUUAUUUACGACGUAUACAUUUAUAUAGUCGACGUUGUAUUUAUAUGUAUUCAUUACUCACGACGCACUUAAUAAUAUAGACGACGUUGAACGUCUAAACAACGUCGGUUCCAAAUAAAUGAGAGCCGUAUUACAGAACAUAUAGACGGCGUAGAUUAUGAUGGGAGCCGUAUUACAAAUAACGUCGUUUAAUUGUUAUUAGACGGCGGUUAUAAUGAAUUUCCGUCGGAAUUAAUUUCGUUCCUCUUCGUUUAUAAAAGAACUUGCGACGUGGAAAAUGUAUGAUGACGUCGUAUUUUUUAACGUUCAGAUUACAUAUCUCGUUUUUUAGACGUCGGUAUUAUGGGAUUGGAGUCGUGUUAUUUUGAAUUACAUGGCGGUUCUUAAUCCUUCCCCGACGUGAUAUCCUGAAUAAUUGCUUCACAAUUGCGUCGUGGUUCUUCAUUGUUACGUUGCUUUAAGACGUCGGUAAAUAUGCUGAAUAACUGGUUCACAAUAACGUCGUGUUUUAUUUGAACGUAGAAAGUGAAGAAAGCACAUUACAAUAUAUUACAAAAUUAAUGUCAUACACUGCCAAUUACAUAAGCAUCAUUCAAUCCAUAUAUCUUCACACCCAUCUCGAAUAUUUUGACCGCCUAACUCACCCACCAGUUCAUCAAAUGUGUCAACAUUUGGCAUCCCUCUAGUAAAUGGCUCACACUCAAUUAUCACAUCACCUAAGACUUCAUCACCAAUAACAUCAUUAUAUUCUCUAUUAGGCAUUGAUAACACUACCGACCAACCACGAUGCAUCGGGUCGUCAACAAAAAAUAUUUGUUUGACUUGAGAAGCCAAAACAAAUUGGUCAUUCCUAUGUCCAAUUUUACUCAAAUCUACAAGGGUAAAUCCAAGUUCGUCGACUACAAGACCAGAACUAUCUAUCCAAUCACACCUAAAGACUGGGAUUGUAAACUUUUGGUAGUCAAGGUCCCAAAUUUCUUGAAUGACACCAUAGAAACCCAUAUUUGAGAGAAUUGGGUUUUUAUCCUUGGCACUAGCAACUUGCAUGGUAUGUGCAAGUAAAUAAACUCCACUAUUUUGAGUUGUCCGCACAUCAUCUUGUGCCUUGAUAUUGAAUUUAAUACCUUUAAUAAGAUAGCUCCUAUAUAAUGGCACUGACAUGUUUGGACCAGCUGCUAGCCACCUUAAAUUUUCUGAUACGCCAUGAUUGUCUUCCUCAACUUCACUUUGAACCUGCAAAUUAAUCAUAUCUUAAUUCAUCCUAACAUAUAAAUAAGAAGAAAAUUAAAAGAGAAAUACGUUAUUCAACAACAUAUACCUUGAAGCGUAGCCAUUGAAUGAAAGUGCUAUUGUGCUUAUCCUGCAGCCACUUUGUUCUCUUUCUAAAUUUUGGAUAAGCAGUCUUGAUGUGGAUCAUAUGUUGCCUACAUGACACGAAAAAUUCAAGCAUUACGGUCCCAAAUAUAUAAGAUAAACAUAAGAAAUAAUUUUAAAUGGAAACUUAAAGAAUAAAACUCAUACGUACUCGAUAUAAGGUAGGACUUCCUCCGUAUUCUCCAAGACAUAUAGAUGUGCUUGAUUCAACAGGUCCUGAUCAACUACGCUCACUGUGCAACCUGAUAAUGGCUUUGAAACUCCCAUCUUUUGGCUUGAAGGCACUCCAACUGUACUAACAUCAGAUAAAUGCUGAGUACAAAACUCUACCGCUUCUUCAGCUAUAUACCGCUCAGCAAUGCAACCUUCGGGACGAGUACGAUUCUGAACAUACCCCUUCAGCACUUUCAUAUAUCUUUCAAACGGAUACAUCCACCUAAAAUAUACUGGCCCACAUAGACGAACUUCUCUGACAAGAUGUACUACUAGAUGAACCAUGAUAUCAAAGAAUGAAGGGGGAAAGUACUUCUCAAGCAAACACAGAGUAACUACUACAUCUUCUUCCAACUUAUCUAGCUUGGAAACAUCAACAGUCUUUGCACAUAUAGCAUUGAAGAAGAAGCACAAACGAGUUAUUGCAUACCUUGCAGGCUUCUCCAAAACAGAACGAAUUGCCACAGGGAGCAAUUGUUGCAUUAAGGUAUGACAAUCAUGUGAUUUAAGGCCAAGAAGUCUUGAAUCUUGUACAGAUACAAGAUUUUUAAUAUUUGAAGAAUAACCUUCAGGGACCUUCAUACCAUAGAAAGAAUUGCAAACCUCUCUCUUCUCUGCUCUUGACAAAUUCCAAGGCCCAGGAGGCAAACGAGUACGUCUUUCUCCAUACUCGGGUUGCAAAUCAGUUUUGACCCCCAUGUUCAAUAAAUCUAAUCGAGCAGCAAUCCCAUCUUUAUUUUUUCCAGGGAUCUCCAGCAAUGUACCAAUGAUACUAUCGCAAACAUUCUUCUCAAUGUGCAUAACAUCUAGGGCAUGCCUCACAGGAAGGUAUUUCCAAUACUCGAGAUCAAAGAAUAUUGAUUUCUUCUUCCAACAAACUCUGUCACCAUUUUCAACCAUAUGCAGCACUUCUUCUCCGGUUAAUGGCUCGGGAGGUAUGCCAUAUUCAGGUUUCCCAUUAAAAGCUGCACGUUGCCUCCUAUAUGGAUGAUUGAUUGGUAACCAUUUUCUAUGCCCAAUGUAACAAAUUUUGUGGCCAUUUUUCAACCUGUGACUAGGUGUAUCAUCGCCGCAUAUUGGACAAGCUUUAUAUCCUUUAACAACACAACCAGAUAAGUUUCCAUAGGCGGGGAAAUCAUUAAUUGUCCACAUUAAUGCAGCUCUGAGUGUAAAGUAUUCUCCAUUAUGUGCAUCAUACACUCCUCUAAUCCCAACCCACAAGGAUUUUAAAUCAUCAAUCAAAGGCUCCAAGUAGACGUCUAUAUCAUUUCCGGGUUGUUUAGGACCGGAAAUCAAUAAGGUUAACAUCAUGAACUUUCGUUUCAUGCACAGCCAUGGAGGGAGAUUAUAUGUAACUAAGAUAACCGGCCAACAACUAUAUCUGCUACUUAGAGAACUGUGGGGAUUGAAUCCAUCAGAUGAAAGAGCCAAUCUCAAGUUUCUCGGCUCAUUACCAAACUCAGGCCAUUUAUCAUCAAGAAGUUUCCAAGACGGGGAAUCCGCCGGAUGAGACAUCUGACCGUCAAUUGAUUUUCUAGCAACAUGCCACCAAGUCAAACUCUUAGCUGUCUCAUGUGAUUGAAACAUCCUUUUAAACCUUGGAAUUGGGGGAAAAUACCACACCACCUUCGCUGGCACACCCUCUUUCAAGAUUGCAUCUUUGCCUUCCUUCCACCUUGAGAUACCACAAGUAGGACAAUUAGUUGAAUCCUCAUACUCCUUCCUAUACAAGAUGCAAUCAUUGGGGCAUGCGUGCAUUUUCUCAUAACUCAGCCCCAAUGCACACAAAGUCUUUUUAGCCUCAUACAUGGAGGUUGGUAUUGUAUUUCCUUCUAGAAGCAAAUCGCCUUGAAGUAUCAAUAAUUCUGUAAAACAGACAUCACUCAUCCCAUGUUUUGCCUUCAAAUUAUACAACUUCACUAAUGCCGAUAACUUCGUGUACUUUCUACAACCAGGGUACACUGGUUGAUCUCCAUCCCCAAUCACAUUGGCAAACUCAUACGGAUCCGAACCAAAAUCACCAAAAUCAUUAUCAUCCAUAUCAAUUUCUUCAGACACAAAACUGUACCUACUAUGGCCAUCAUCUUCUUCAACAUUUCUGCUAGCAUUAGUAGUUGCUUCCCAAGGUUCUCCGUGAAAUGUCCAAUUCUUAUAGCUUUGGUCAAUUCCAUUAAAGUAUAAGUGAUCCCUUAUAAUUCCAACCCCAAACAACUUCAAAUUAACACAUUUAACACAUGGACAACGGAUAUGUGUUGUAGUUAGAAGAUUUUCUACAGCAAAGUUCAAAAAUGCUUCCACCCCAAACUCAUAUGCCUUCGAUCUUCUAUCCGAGUGCAUCCAUGACUUAUCCAUCUCCGACACUAUAACCUAUUAUCUAUAAUAAAGUGAAAAUACAGGCAAUGACCAUCACUAUAGCAGAUUAUACAAUGAUCUAAUCGCAAGUAAUAAACAACAGAGACGACGGGUUUUAAUCAAAAACAGACGUAUUUGGCAUAUAUAGACGACGGAUUUUCAACAGACGUCGUCUAUUAUACGUAAUACAAACGACGGUUUAUGAAAAAACCGUCGUGUAUAAGUAAUACAACGACGGUAGUUUAAAAACACCGUCGUGUAAUCGUCGUCGUACGCCUUAAAAUUCGUCGUGUCUCAGUUUAUUUUCAAGAACACAAAACCCAUUAAGAACACAACAUAUAUAUGAAACCAAGCAAGAAACCAACAUAUACAUGAAACCAAGCAUGAAAACAAUAAAUCCAUUCCCAAUUCAACAUAACAUAGGGUGAUUAAAAGAUACGACAAAAUUAAAUCCAUUCCCAAUUCAACAUAACAGAUAAUGUAAUCCAUGAACCCAUUAAACAGAAAAUCCAUGAACCCAUACCUAUAAGCAUUGGUGCACUUUGCACCUUCUCCAGAGCGGAAAAUGACAAGAUCAAAUAAAGGUGUCCUUUUGCUGGAAAUCAUUUGGAAGUUGGUGAUGUGUCUUUUUGUGUUGAUUUCCAGCAAAAGUACACCUUUAUUUGAUCUUGUCAUGAACCCAUUAAACAGAAAAUCCAUGAACCCAUACCUAUAAGCACAUUAUUAACAGAUCGCAAAGCAUAUACCUAAAACCCUUUAACAAAACAACCUAAUAUCAUUCAAUGAAUUUACAAGGGGAAGAUAGGGUUUGUACUUACAGGUUGGACGAGCUCACAGAUUCGACGAGCCUGGAGAGUGCAACUUUUAAUUAGAGCAGAAGUGAGAGAGCGAAAUGUUAUGUCGCGUGAAAUCUGAAAUUUUAGGUUUCAGGGAUCAAAGUAUAAGACUAAGAGCCAAAUCUAAAAAAAUUUAGGUCGCGCGAAAAUUUUUAGAGCGCGCGCGUUAUAAAACGUCGAAAGAAAAACCAAGGCGAAAGUUCUACAAGUACCGACGUAAAUUGAAUAUUCCACGACGGAAACUUCAUUUUUCGGAUUAAGAACGUAAGGCCGUUCAUUUUUCGGAUUAAUUUUAAAUUUAUUUUGAAUUUUUUAUAUAACGACGACUGAAAAACCACGUCGGUGUUAAGAAAUUAAAGACGUUGUAAAUUAUAUAAACCGACUUACAUAUUAAAAUAACGUCGUUUAAAGCGUAAACCAUGUCGUAUGUUUUACUGUACGACGUAAAAUAUGUAUUCCACGACCCAACCACCGUCGUUAAAAAUUAAUACACUAAACCCAUAAAAUUAAAUUAUACAAUUUAAAAAAUUAAGUUUAUAAAAGGUUUUAUGGUUUUAAAGCCUAACAUAUAACAUAGACUACCCAAAAAUUAUACUUUAAAAAUAAACCCCAAUAAAUAACAACACUAAUCUCUAAACCCUAGACUCUAAACCCUAAACCAUUAAACUAGAAGUGAUUUUAUGACUCAUCAAAACAAUUUUGUUUUGGAUGGUCAUUUUAAAUUUUUGUUAUUCAAAAUGAAUUUUUUCAAGGUUUAUGUGGAAGAAAAUAUAUCAAUGACUUCAUAGGAGUUGACUUUUCAAUUUUCUGAUUUAUUUUAAAUUUAUUUUGAAUAUUUUGAUAUAAAAAUAAUAAAAUAUUCUUACCACAACAACCAACCACGUCGGUGUUAAUAAAUUGUAGACGUUGUAAAUUGUAAUAGACUACUAAGUCGUUAAAAUGACGUCGUUAAAAUGAGAAACCAUGGCGGCUAUUUAACUAUACGACGUAAAAUAUAUAUAUCAACGACUUAACCGCUGUCGUUACAUAAACGUCGUCGAUGAUACCCUGAACCCUUAAGAAAUUGAAGAUGUUGUAAACCAUAAACGACUCAAUUGUUCAAAGAACGUCGUCUAACUAUAUUUUUACGUCGUAAUUGUUUAAAACACGAAACAACAAAAUACGACGGUUAUUGACUUUAUUAGGUCGUUGGAAAAGUAUUACACGUCGGUUAAGCAAUUUGUAUGUUUGUUUUUUUUUAAUUUAAGAAAACCUCAACAAAUUUUUACAUUACAUAUUAUAGAGAAAAUUGGUACAUUAUACAUAAAUAUCAAGUGUUCAAUAAUUGCCCUGUUUAAUAAUUUGGAAAACAAACUCUGCCCAUUCAUUCCGGACUUCAUCAAUGGCUUCUUGGGGGUAUGAAGCUUCCUGGUUUCCCUUGGCAUACUGCAUAAACAAUGACUAUUAGGGUUUAUAAAUAAAAAGAAAUUCAAUCACAGACGACGAUAUUUUUCAUAACCGACGUAGUAUAUCCAUUCAACGACGUUAAUUUUACACGACCGUCGUUGAUAAUACAAAAAACGACGUGAAAUGUAUGAAGGUAAUUUCUUCUUACCUUAUUCUCAAACCCCAAGGAAGGAUCCAUGAUGAUGUCCCUCAUGAAGCGCAUUACAUAAUACCCGCAUUCGACAUUGCUGGGUUGCUUUGGUGUGCCUGAGAGAGUUUUCCAAAUUACAUUUUUACGUCCUGCUCGGGCUAUGUGGGUAUUAUAUAUUUUUAAAGCACUGUUCACGAUGUUUUUGGCCUCUUCAUCGACCACACGAUUUCCUGGCAGAGGAUCCAGAAAAUAGACGGUUUCUCUCUUUGCUCUUACAAUCAGCAAAAUCCAAUGACGGCUGCACAAAAUUAAUAUAAAAACGACGGUUAUUUACAAAAACGACGUAUUAUAGUAUUUCACACGACGAAGUAAAGUAGCUAACGACGACAUUAUAUAUUUAUCACGACGAUAAAUAAAUACCGACGUGGUUAGUAGUUUCAAACGACUAAAUAAAAUAAAACACCGACGUGGUUAGUUUAUAAGCUGUCAUUUAUUGAAAAUCAUAAAAACAAAAUCCUAAGGAGACUAACCCUGGAUUGUAAGGCAUCAUGAAAAUCUGUUCACCGUCUGUCUUCUGAAGUCGAGCUGCUACGAGUCGUGAUCUUUCAGUUAUUGUGCCAGAGUUGGCACUAACUGUAGCAGGGUCGAUAAAGCCAACCAUACUGCACAUAUUGGCUUUUUUCAAAACAUCGUGUAAGUACCUAAACAAAUAAAAUAAUAUAAACAAGUCAGCACACAAAACACGACGGUUAUGUAUAAAAAAACGACGUAUUAUAAUAUUUCACACGACGUACUGAAAUAGAUGAGGACGUUAUAAUAUAUUUAUCACGACGGUUGUUAGUUAAGACGACGUGGUUAGUUAGUUAAGACGACGCAAUAUAUAAACCAACGAGUUAUUAUUUUAGAAGUACAAACCUCAUAUAUACAGCCAAUACAGUAGCUCCAAUUUCUUCCAUGCCUGCAAAUUGUGUAAUAUCUUCAGGCAGGAGGAAGGUAUCGCGCUCACCACCAAACACCUCCUUAUCAAUUGUAAAUUGGAGUGUCUUAUCCUCAGGCAGGAGUGUCGUUUCCACAAAACGACAAAGGGUUUUUAAAGAAGAUGGCGCCUCCAUAUUUGAAUAAGCACCAACUUCAAUAACCUGUUUAAAGAAAUAAAAAAAAUGACGUGGUAAUUCAAUAAAGACGACGGUUUAAGUAAUAAAACGUCGUCUUAAAAGUAUUUAAACGACGGUGAAAAAACUGUCGUGGUAAUUCAAUAAAGACGACGGUUUUAUGAAUAAAGCGUCGUCUGAAACCAUUUAAACGACGGUGCAAAAACCGUCGUUUAAAUAUUUUAUUACGUCUUAAAAAAAUUCCGCCGUCUAAGUUUUAAACAAACGACGGAUUAAAUAAAAAUAUCGACGUCUGAAAUUUUGAAAAACAAAUAAAAAAGGCAAAGUUAUGUGAACAUACCUUGUCGUCAUGCUUUUCUUCAUCUUCUUUCUCCUUUUCUUCUUCCUUCUCUUCAUCUCUUUUUUCUUCUUCCUUCUCUUCAUCUGGCUGAUGUUUCCCCAUUUUGGCAGUAUCAUCCUCCAAAUGUAGGGAUCUCACAUCACCUCCAGAGCAGCUAGCUUUGUCAGACAUUGGAUUUUUGGGGCUUUGGCUAAUUCUUGGUUUAAGCAUGCUUGGAUCAAAAUUGGGAAUUAAUUGGGAAAGCUGACUCAGGAAAUGCUCCCUCUCAGCCUCUACCAAUUGUUUUGUCCUAGCCUCCAUCCUUAAGGCCUCUUCCCUUGCCUUAGCCUCCAUCUUUUUAGUCUCUUCUUGAAGGAGAACUCUUAAACUGUCCUUCAAACGGUCGUCAAAGCUCACCCUCUGUGGUUUGGGCAAAUUGAAAUAUUGCCUUGGGGAAACACCAGCACCAACUCCCCUCAGUCUGCCUGGAUGCUCGGGGCCCAAAGCCAUGGUCAGCACAUCAUUGCUGCCAUCUACUCUGACUUUGCCUUCCGAGACUUGUUUCUGCAAUUCAUCCUAAAAAAAGAUAAACAAAAAAACACACGACGGUUAUUUAUGUACAAACGACGUAUUAUAUAAUUUCACACGACUCAAUAACGUAUAAACCGACGUUAUUAUAACUUAUCACGACGGUAGUUAUACCGACGUGGUUAUUUAUUUAAAACGACGAAAUGAAUAAACAACCGACGUCUUAUGCUAUAAUUAAAGAUAACAGAGUAGUGAUUCCUAUUUAGACCGUUAACGACGUUUUUAAAAAAUUUUCGACGUGGUAAUAUCAUUCACACGACGCGAAAAUGAACCACCGACGUCUUAUGCUGUAAUUACAGAAAACAUAGUAGUGAUUCCUAUUUAGACCUUUAACGACGUUUUUAAAAACUUUUCGACGUGGUAAUAUCAUUCACACGACGAAAAAUAUAACAUACGACGUAAUAAGAAUAAUUCACAGUUUAAUAAAAAUUUAAAACAGAGUGAUAGUAGGCUUACAAUUAAUUUUGCUUUCUCUGCCACCUUUGGAUCAGGGAUGUUACCAUGUUUGUCCUGUCUAGCUCUCUUCCAUAAGGUAGAUCGAUCAAUUUCUACCCCAGGCAUGGUUUCCUCCAAUUGAUCCUCCAAUCCAGCAUAUCCUUUUUGAGACAAUCGAUGAUUGUACUCGAGUUUCUCCCUAAUCUGUGCAUGUUGAGAAUGCACAGACUCAAAAUCUUUGGAUAGCCUUGAAGCUACAAAGGCAUCCCAUUGUGCUUUCUCUAUGAAUUUAUAUGUUUCAGGGGGUUGGCUUAAUUUCUCCCUGUCAUUGGUGUAUGGAAGGAUAUAAUGCCUCGUUAGUGUAGACUUGAAAUCCUUCCAUUUCUUGGAAGCAGAAGCUAAAACAGAGGUCUUGCCCCCUUGGCCUACGACAAAAGCCAUGUCAACUGCUUCCCAAAUCUGCUCCUUUAUAUCCUUGGGGAUUUGGGACCAUUUCUUGUCCACAAGUGGGAUCCUGGAGCGUGCCAACACACCAAUAUACGACUGCAUCUCAAUAUGUGCUUGGCCAACACCUUUCCCCCUUUUAUUGUACUCAACAAUUGGCCUCAGUUUCUGAAGCUUUCUCUUCACAACACGAGGCAUUGUGCUCAUACCUCGACCAGUCUUUGAAUCAUCUGAGAUUGUUGUCUGGCUGGUUUGUUCUGUCUCAGCAGAUGAUGAAGCAAACUUCAUCUUCUUCGAAGACUUCAUCUCCUUCGAAGACUUAUCUUGAGGAGCUACCAUUCCAAGCUUCUUGGAGCCAGAAUCCUUAGUUUGUUGUUGAGAAACCAUUUUAACAGACAAAACUGCAAGUGAAAAUAUUUCAGGAAAACAUUAAGAACACAAACGACGGUAUUAAAAAAAUACGACGUAUGAUAUGAUUUUAGACGACGCAAUGAAAUAAUCUCAGACGUAAUAAAUGUUUAAAACCAUUAUUUAUAUAACGUCGUGGUAUAUAUGUUCACACGACGUCAAUAGUAAUACACCGUCGUGGUAAACUAUUAUUUAUAUUUUAUCGUCUAUAUUAGAUACCAACCCUAGUUUCUUUUUCUUUAUAUUUUAUCAAAUAAGGGAAAAACAAAAACCAUUGUUCAGCGAAAUCAAACCUGCAAUUAAACAAGCAUAUAAAAAAAGACUAUUAUUUUAAAAACAACUUUGUCAAUUUUCAGACGACGCUAGAACAACUGACGAACCGUCGUGGUCUACCGUCGUCUUAUUUAGUUGAUGUAGUUGUCUUCAAAGUUGGAAACUUUCUCUCUUUGUCUGUAUAUUUUAUCAAACUUGGAAAGAAGUAAAAUGAUUUUGGCCAGAAAAAAGGUAAAAAGAUUUUUCAAACAAAAAACGUAUGAGCAUGCAAAACAGUAACCAAAAUAGUGAAAAUGAAAGCUUACCUUUUGCGUGCAAUGAAAGCAAGAGGAAGAUGAUCGAUGUUUAAGUUCAGAGACGACGAAGAAGACGAGAGGAAGACGAUGAGAAACUCUGACAAUGCUCUGACAAGGAAAAAAGACGAAAAGGUUUCUCUAGGAGAUUGAAAUUUUUAAUCGGGUUUGGAAACAGUGCAUGUGUAAGUCGAAAAGUUGCUUACAUAUAAAACCAUUUCAAAAAAAUAAUACGGCGGUUACAUUUAACUACGUCGUUUUUAACUAAAACGACGCAAUAUUUUUCAUUCGACGUGGAAUCAUUUCAUUUAACGUCGUUAGGUUUAAUAUAACCGACGUGGAUUUUAAUUUUUAAAUUAUGAAUAGAAUUUUUUUUCCCGUGACCUUUCAGUUUAUUUUUCAAUUACAGUGCGUUAUAAAUAGAGUUUUUUUUCCGGAGGAAAUUUAAAACGAAGGAAAUUAAUAUUCUGCAAUAUGUAAAGUUUCUUUUUUGGAUGACAGAUUUAAAUAAAAUAAGAAUAUAAAAACAAUAAAUGUGUAAGUCAAGUAGACGAAAAGUUGCUUACAUAUAAAACCAUUUCAAAAAAAUAAUAUGGCGGUUACAUAUAACUACGACGUAUAAAUUACAAAAUACGACGGUACAUUUAACUUCGGACGUGGUAAAUAAAUACGACAGUAGUUUGUAGGUACCGUCGUAGUAAACUCAAAAAUUAAAGUACAUAAGUAAUAACUCGCGUCAUGGUAUAUUAUUUAACACGUCGUUUUUAUUAAUUUACCGACGUGGAUUUCUGUAAUAUACGUCGAUCAUACCGACGUUGAUUUUACAAUUUAAACGGCGGUUUGUUUGUAAGGACCGCCGUUGGUUUUAAAAAUUUAUUCUAUAAAUUUGUCGCUUUCAUUCAUUUUCGGUUUACAUUUAAGGUUCCAAGUUCUUCCUCUCUCAGUCUCUCAUGUCUCAAAGAUAAUAAUUUGGAUGUUUUCUCAAAGAGAAAUUGAGCUUACUCGCAUCAAAUAUAUGUCCACAAGAAGAAGCUUGUCAACUAGCCUUCUCACUUCCUUGAUCAAGCCUGAUAGGACACUUAGUGCUUCUGAAUACUCCUUGCUUUCCAUCAAAAGAGAUGCAAGCCUGGCCUCCACUCGCUGUCGAAGGAAAGUUCGCUUCUCAGGGAAAUCUGAAGAUCAGAUGUGCCUGAUCCUCUGCUUGAUUUUCUUGCCUAAGAAGAUCCGUCGGAUUUAUUGUGAUAGCCUCUUCCUUUAUCCGUAGAGCUUCAGAAGAAGAAGAUGGGUUUCAAGAAUGCGAUAAAGAAUAGAAAUGGCUUCAGAUGGCCUCUAAAGCAUGAGCAAUUGAAUCAGUAGUUUCUGGGAGAUAUGAUGAAGACAUUGUCAAUGCUUUGAACUACACAAGUCCUGCAGAAAGAUAUGUUAAAGAAACUGAAACAACGGCGGUUUUCUGUUCUACCGUCGUCUUUUCUCGUCGUCUAUAUUAAGUUACGAUGGCGGUAGAUUUAUAAUUACCGACGUAGAUUAUUUUGUUAAACGUCGUUAAGUGUACUACAACCGACGUGGAUUUUAAUUUUAAAUUAUAAAUGGAGUUUUUUUUCCCGUAUUCUUUCAGUUUUAGUUUUCAAUUCCAAAGCGUGAUAAAUAGAUUUUUCUUUCCCGAGGAAAUUUAAAAUGAGGGAAAUUAAUGUUCUAGAAUUUGUAAACUAACACGACGCAAUAUUUGCAAAUCUGUGUCAUCUGUUAAGAUUAUGAUGUGGAACAGAGUUCCAUCUGGUAAGAUUUCGUAACCCUUGGGAUCUCAGACAAAACUGAUUAUGUCGGCGGUGUUCUAUAUAAACCGUCGUGGUUAUUUCAAUUCUUGUCAUUAAGUAGAUCUACCGACGUAGGAUAAGAAAAUCAAAGAAAAAAAUUGUUAACAAAAAUUCUUAUUAAGACGACCGUUAAAAUUAAAGGUACGACGUAUAAAAUGAAUAAAUACGACGAUAAAUUUUAUUGUACGAUUUAAAGAUAACGUAGUAGAACUAUACGAGAAUGACGUCGAUAUAUUUAUAUUUUCCGUCGUUGUAAAUUAAUUUAAUACGGCGAUAUUUUGUAUUUUAAAGCCGUGGAUUUGUUUGUAAUUAUACGGCGUCUUAUACGAAAACCUCGUCGUGUUAUUUUAUGAGUAAAAACGGCAGUUUUUAUUGAAAUCGUCGUCUUUACUUUCUACGUCGGUCGAUUCAUAACUUCUGCCGUUCUUUGUUGGCAUUGAUUUUACACUGAGGAAAUCUGUUUCAAAUAGACGUCGGUUGUUUAAUUAUGUACGUCGUUGUUUUUGAACAGCCAUUUGAAACUCCAUUUUUUAGUUGUCUAAGGUUGUAUUACACGACGGUGAUUUUAGAACCGUCGUCUUUUUAUAAACCACGACGGUUUUCACUUAGACCGUCGUUGUUUUCUGGUCGUCUUUUUCACUUUUUGUAGUAGUGUGAUUUUUAUAUUAUAUCUUUAAAGAGUUAAAACUGCACUAAUUGGAAAUAUCCCUUGUGCUCUGACAGCAUGUCUGGAGGAAGUCUCCUAUUUGCGGCUUACACAGUGCUCCUUCUUCUUCUUGUUCCUUCCUCUUGUUCCCAAACCGCUUCCAAUAAUAUUACAGCUGAUAACUCUGAUUGUAUCCGUUCUUGUGGAAAUAUUAACAUAAGCUAUCCAUUCCGAUUGAAAGGAGAAUCUAAACACUGCGGCAACAAAAGCUUCGAGCUAUCUUGUGAGGCCAAGGGAAAUGGUACUACUCAUCAUGCAGUGCUAUCCUUGUUUUCAGGAAAGUAUUAUGUACAAGCAAUCAAUUACAAUAACUUCACAAUCCGACUUGUGGAUGUUGGUGUUCACAAGAUCAAGGACAACUACUUCUCCCACCCACUCUUCUCCUUGACCCCCUUCAACUUUUCUUAUUACUCCGAUUAUACAGGUCCUCUUCCUGAGUAUUACCAUAUAGAAUCAUUAAUGUCUAUAAUCUUCCUGAGCUGUGAAAUUCCAAUGAAUCCUUCCGAUCUCAUUGUUGAAACAGCUCCAUGCAUCAGUGGGGUCAACAACUAUUCUUCUUCCAAUUCUUCUUUCUCCAAUUUAACAACAUAUUCUUAUUUCAUACAAUUUCGGUUUGGGUAUGGCUCUGAGAAUGACCGAAGUUUACACAAUUUGCUGGAUUCCUGCAAAAUAACACUAACGGUUAUGGUGUCCCCUUCAACUGAGGAGCACAUGACGUCUUGCAAAGGAAUAUAUAAUGAAAUAGCGCAUGGCUUUGAACUCUCAUGGCUUCAUCAUGCAUGUAAAGUAAUGUGCAGAUCAGGGGAAUCUUGCAGGCUGAACCGCAACGACAAUGGAAUCAACUGCUUCCAACGCCGGUUAAAUUUAAUACCAAAAGGUUAGAUAAUUGCCAAACCUUUAAAUUAUAAAUUAUAUAUUUACUGUAGUGUCAAAUAUCAGUUUUAUCCACUUUGAUGACUAUGAUAGCAUGUUAAACCGUAAUUUCCAACCGUUACUAAGCUAAUGUUACAGUUUUCUUUUCAUAAUUUGUGUCUAACCAGAAUUCUCUUUAUGCAAUAUAGUCCCUUGGUACGGCGAGAUCAUAAUGUCCAUAAUCAAGAAAGGAGGUGAGUGGAUCCCUCAACUCUGUAAAUAGACGUUUACUUUUCUUUGGCCUUUUCGCUUGACUAACCACCUUAGUCAUUCCAUUGAUCGAUUGAUUUCUUUACUUCUGUUGCAGGAGACCGUAUUUAGGCUUUGACAGGCUUUUACCUAUGGGAGUGUCCAGAUUAUACCUUGGCCAGCUUCUGGGAUGUGCAGUCGCUUCCCUAGGUAAGAGAAUACUUGUGUGGAUCACUGGAACAUUAAUAUUCUUAUUUUGAUUGAGAUGGAUUUGCAAAGGAGUAUAUUAUUAUUAUUAUCAUUAUUAUACUUCGUGUUCAUUAAUUCCAUUUUUGUGAAACAUGCAGUACUACCAUACGUAGCAGCCAAAUUUUCAUUGGGUUUUUGUUGUUUAAUUGCACUGCUAAUAUACAAAUGGCGAAGAAGGCACUUGUCAAUGUAUGACAAUAUAGAAAACUUUCUACGGAGUAAUAAUAAUCUCAUGCCAAUAAGGUACUCUUACUCCGACAUCAAAAAGAUGACCAGACGUUUCAAGGACAAAUUGGGAGAAGGAGGCUAUGGCUCUGUAUACAAGGCAAAGCUCCGCAGUGGUCGCCUUGUAGCCAUCAAGAUGUUGGGUAAGUCCAAAACUAAUGGGCAAGACUUUAUUAAUGAAGUUGGUACCAUUGGAAGGAUUCGUCAUGUUAACGUGGUCCGACUUAUUGGCUUCUGUGUUGAUGGUUCAAAACGUGCUCUAGUAUAUGAUUUCAUGCCUAAUGGGUCUCUUGAGAAAUACAUUUUUUCUCAACAAAGAGAUAUGUCUUUAAGUUGCCAGAAAAUAUUUGAAAUCGCACUUGGAGUGGCUCGUGGUAUUGAUUACCUCCAUCAAGGCUGCGACAUGCAAAUUUUGCACUUUGACAUCAAGCCUCACAACAUUCUUCUAGACGAGAAUUUUACUCCCAAGGUCUCUGAUUUUGGGUUAGCAAAGCUAUAUCCAUUGGAUAAUAGCAUUGUAUCUUUGACUGCGGCAAGAGGAACCAUGGGAUAUAUUGCUCCAGAACUGUUCUACAAAAACAUUGGAGGUGUUUCGUACAAAGCCGAUGUAUAUAGUUUCGGAAUGCUAUUGAUGGAAAUGGCUGGUAGAAGGAAAAACCUGAAUGCGAGUAUAGAACAAUCAAGCCAAUUUAGCCAAAUCUACUUUCCGACAUGGGUUUCUGAUCAGUUGAAGGCAGGAAAGGACAUAGAAAUAGAAGAUGAUGCAACAUAUGAGGAAAAGAAGAUCAUAAAGAAGAUGAUGAUGGUGGCUUUAUGGUGCAUACAAAUGAAGCCUAUCGAACGCCCUUCAAUGAAUAAAGUAGUGGAGAUGCUUGAAGGAGAAAUUGAGUGCCUCCAAAUGCCUCCAAGGCCUUUCUUAUACCCACAACAAAUUCCUGCAGAUGAAGUUGGUGUGGACAAUCGAAGUCCCUGUGCAUCAAGUGCUUCAGAAUCUGAUGAGAUUACUUUGAUUGCGGAUGCAAAUUAAGUGAAUUAAUAUUAGUCACGAUGUGGAUCUAUGUAAGGGAAAGUUAGCAGCUCUACUCUGUAUUUGAUCAUAGCACAAAUAUGUUUACAUGUUGUAAUUGAUUUAAGCAAAUAAUCAGCCUCUGGCUUUGGUUAUUGUUUGAGAAACUGCCUGCCAGAAAUGCAAUGACUUGAACUUUGAUGACAAAUAGGUUUACCCAAAUGAAUUGCCCCAGAGAAACAAUUCAUUUGUAUAUGGAUAUGUUAUCGAGUGGGCUUAUUAUGCCUGAAUCAAGGGUUCAAAAUUAAACAAGAGCCUAUACGUCAAAUAAUCUCCAUAUCUGAAUUAGAAUCCAGUUCUACCGACAAUGACUAAACCAUAUGUAAGAGUUUACAGAGCCAGAGCAAAGCUACAGACUUGGAUUUGGACCAAAGUGAAACUCAAACUCAAACUCAAAAACCUUAGUGCAAGUCCCUAACCUCCUUAAUUUCUGGGGCUGAAAUCUGAUGCAACUCUGAUGUGGAAAUACCAUACCCCUUUUGUGAACUAGAGCUUAAUGGAGUCAGCAAUUUGGGCUAAUUAAAAGAUUGAAAAGUGCAAACUACACGACUGAACCACAGACAGGAACGAAGAAAAAGAUUAAAAAACAUUAGCCUAAGCUGCACAAUCCACAUGGGCCGACCAUGGAGACCUUCCAAAGGGAAGUGCCGGUUUCACUCAAUUCUAAAUUCUUAACAUAGGAAUAUGGCAGACAAACUUGAUUAACAAAUAAAUUAAAAUUAAAAAACCGCAACUAAACCAAUCUGAUAAGUGGUAGAGUGGUAUAAUCUUCUCUUCUGACAUAGAUAACACACAUCACAGAAGUAGGAGACAUUGCUGUUAAAACUAAAAGUUACACACAUUCUAUACACAACUCUGUUAUUAGAUCAUUGAUCCCAUCCUCAACCCUAAAAAAAGCUCUUGAUUUUUGAACAUAUAUCCCAACCAUUUUCAAAUCCACUAGGAUCGGCAUGAGACAGAUGUUCUAAGCAACUACUCUGUUUCUUUCUAAAUAAUGUUGCCUCCAUCCAUUUUCAAAUCCUCUAGAAUAAGCAAGCCUCCAUCAAAAAACACCAAGAGCCAUUAAAGGCAAAUGAGCUCUACUUGAUCUCUAUCAAAAAGACAACAAUAAUCAACUGAGUAACAAGCAAACAAGCUCAGCUAAGAUGUAGUAUUUUGGGAGGAGAAACAAAAAAACAAACUCAAUUGCAACCAUCACAAACCAGAAACAACAAAAGAGUUGUAGUUAAAAAUAUAUACAACAACUUAACCUAAAUCCACAAACUCAUCUUACUACUAAUUAUACAACAACACAUUCCUCGUUCCUAACUUGUCACAAUUUCAGAGACUUCAAUUGAAAAGUGAGAGAUUAAAAAAAUUGCCAUUUGCACCACACGCAUUGCCCCCAUCUCAAACAACAACCUGGCAAUCUCUUGACCCACCGGCCAAAGUACCCAACCCGCCUUUCGACGAAAGAGAAACCGCCACGCCACGGCACAAAACCCUCGAGAGCCGCCGCCUCAGCCUCCACCCACUUCUCCUAAACUCAACCCUAGCCAAAAGCCUCACGUUGAAGCUCACGCUCCCACGCGCCUCGUCUGCGUCGAUGCCGAGGGCAACCGGAGCGCCAACGAACGAAUUCGCCGCCAACAAAGUCGCGAUGACAGACGUCCGAUCCUUAGUCGCCUGAGCGAACGGCGGAAUUAGACGCCCUUGUGCAUUCCUAAUAACAAGACUCGAUGCCGAAUCACCAUUUGAUAAAACAUAACCGUCAAAAUUGAUUUAAUGUUAUCCUUUUG